This is a long non-coding RNA of Carcharodon carcharias (great white shark), 269 nucleotides long. RefSeq lists it as uncharacterized. The record is from RefSeq and is a predicted model, not a curated record. NCBI's taxonomy places the organism in Eukaryota, Metazoa, Chordata, Chondrichthyes, Lamniformes, Lamnidae. The transcript is spliced from 2 exons.
GACCCGAGUCCAGAGGGCAGUCUUCUACUGGACAGAGAUGUGUGUAGAGGUUGACGAUGCUGUCAGCUUGUUUUGCCGACCCACCAGGAGAUCUCCGGUGGCAGGGUAGCAGCUUCCUUGGGCACAGCCAUGGGCUGAGUCUGGAUCCUGAGCAACAGUCCCCACCACAGCUAGACAGUGAGAGAAAGAGAUAGAAAGAUAACUGUCAGUAGCAGCACUGCUAGGAGCUGUGUAAUUCUAUGAUUCCGUAAACAUGGCUUACCCUUAAA